CUCUGUUCAUAUUUUAAAGUGUUCAGGGCAGAAGGAG
This 37-nucleotide non-coding RNA is filed under the name Gemella cuniculi DSM 15828. The record is from RNAcentral. Lineage: Bacteria; Bacillati; Bacillota; Bacilli; Caryophanales; Gemellaceae.